CCUACGGGAGGCAGCAGUGGGGAAUAUUGGGCAAUGGGCGCUAGCCUGACCCAGCAACGUCGCGUGAAGGAAGAAUGCUUUCUGGUUGUAAACUUCUUUUGUCAUGGGAGUGUAGAAGACGGUACCUGACGAAUAAGCCACGGCUAACUACGUGCCAGCAGCCGCGGCAAUACGUAGGUGGCCAGUGUUGUCCGGAUUUACUGGGUGUACCGGGCGUGUAGCCGGGUUGACAAGUCAGGUGUGAAAUCCUGCGGCUUAACCGCAGAACUGCAUUUGAAACUGUUGACCUUGAGUACUGGAGAGGCAGAUGGAAUUCGUAGUGUAGCGGUGAAAUGCGUAGAUAUUAGGAGGAACACCAGUGGCGAAGGCGGUCUGCUGGACAGCAACUGACGGUGAGGCGCGAAAGCGUGGGGAGCAAACAGGAUUAGAUACCCUGGUAGUC
Molecule: ribosomal RNA, 442 nt
Filed under: uncultured bacterium
Lineage: Bacteria
Description: partial 16S ribosomal RNA
Rfam family: Bacterial small subunit ribosomal RNA
Source: RNAcentral